GACAGAGGUUGCAAACGUUGUUCGGAAUCACUGGGCAUAAAGGGCGCGUAGGCGGCCCGCUAAGUCGAACGUGAAAUCCCCAGGCUCAACCUGGGAACUGCGUCCGAUACUGGCAGGCUUGAAUCCGGGAGAGGGAUGUGGAAUUCCAGGUGUAGCGGUGAAAUGCGUAGAUAUCUGGAGGAACACCGGUGGCGAAGGCGGCAUCCUGGACCGGUAUUGACGCUGAGGCGCGAAAGCUAGGGGAGCAAACGGG
Molecule: ribosomal RNA, 253 nt
Filed under: uncultured bacterium
Lineage: Bacteria
Description: partial 16S ribosomal RNA
Rfam family: Bacterial small subunit ribosomal RNA
Source: RNAcentral